Molecule: long non-coding RNA, 1452 nt
Filed under: Pan troglodytes (chimpanzee)
Lineage: Eukaryota; Metazoa; Chordata; Mammalia; Primates; Hominidae
Description: long non-coding RNA NONPTRT001829
Source: RNAcentral
AAUGCAUGUAGCAUCCCCUGGUUUGAGGCAGUAGGGAAGAGAAUGAAAGCUGAGACUACGGUCUCUGUAAACCCUCAAACAUCCCUUAAGACACUCACAGAAAGAGGUUCUGGUGGUUUGAACUAUCUCCUGCCUCUGCUUCUCUGUUCCAGCUUUGAAAGGAGUAAUUUGAACUGUCUUAAAGGACGCAUGAGACUUCAGGAAGAACUAGGGUCGCAGCAGGCCCAGAACAGAACUAUAAAUGCUGUGACGUGGAUUCAUAACAAGUAACAAGAGGAAUUAAUUCCUCAAGUCAGUGUGUUUUUAUUUAUUAAAGUACAAAGGCAAACUUUCCCACAGGAUGUGAGUCACUUGUUACAAAGAAGAGCUAUCUUUUAUUUAUUUAUUCAUUUUAUUUAUUUAUUUAUUUAUUUAUUUAUUUAUUUAUUUUGAGACAGAGUCUCGCUCUGUCGCCCAGGCUGGAGUGCAGUGGCAUGAUCUUGGCUUACUGCAAGCUCUGCCUCAUGGGUUCACGCCAUUCUCCCACCUCAGCCUCCCGAGUAGCUGGGACUACAGGUGCCCGCCACCAUGCCCGGCUAAUUGUUUUUGUAUUUUUAGUAGAAUUUAAUCUUCAUGACUGUCCUAGGAGGUAACUAUCACAAAGUCUACUGAGUAAAUGAUGAAAAUAUGGCUCAAGGAAGGAAAUAAAACAGUCACAGAAGUGGUCAGUAUUGCAGCCAGAAUCAUAUCCAUCGUGUGUUCCCAAAGACUGUGAUCUAAAGCACAAUGGUAUGUCACUUCUUCCUCAGUCCUGCUCCCAAAACCCAUCAUCUGUGCAGCUGCAAACACCCUCUCCGCAGGGCUUUUCAAAGGGCUAAAGAAUGAUACUGCAGAACAACGAUGACCUCAUAUAUCUGCAACCAUAAAUGUUAAAUCUCAUAGGUUCCUUUACGGCUGAGAAAGAAGAAUAGAUCUAUUGUGAUUAACAUAUAGAAGUGCAUUUCCAGUAAAUAGGGUUUGUUUCCUUCUGGUAUUCCUCAUGGGACAUACAUAAGCUUGUUUGUGUGGGCUUUUGCAAGGCUCUUUCACGUUUGCCAUAAUAGAUUUUAAAAAUAAGGCACUAAUGUGCAAAAUAACUUUUCUAUCUGAUAACCUAGUAGUAGGUGACUAAUGGGUGGGUGGUGCAUACAGUGUGGAGACCCUGGAUAAAGGGAUGAUUCAUAUCCUGGGUGGGACAAAGCAGUACAGCGAGAGCUUUCAUCACACUAUGCAGAACAGCAUGCGAUUGAAAAACGUAUAAAUUAUUUAUUUAUGGAAUUUUCCACUUAAUACUUUUGAACCUCAGUUGACAGUGGGUGACUGAAACCAUAAAAAGUAAAACCGCAGAUAAGGAGGGACAACUGCAAUAAAUUAACAGAAGUUUCAUAGUAAGACUUUCUAUAAUACAAACUAUAUUACUGUUUCUAAGUUAUG